UUUUCUUCUCUUCUCCCCACCACCCAAACUGGCCAAUACAAGAACCUUCACACCCGCAUCUUCCCCCAAUAGCUCUCUCAAUUUGACCGCCAGUCCCCUUCACAACCAAGGCAGCAGAAGAGCCACCUCUGUGCCCUCCUCAUCCUGGAAGCAAAGGGGCAGAGAAAGCCUAGCUUCUUCCCCUUGGUAAGGGAGUGAUUUCAAGUUUUCUUUCGAUCUCUCUCCUUGAACUUGUUCCCAUGGAUGUUUUUCCCUGCUGGCCGUCGACUAGGUCCUCCAGGAGACGAAGCUUUCGGACAGCGUGGCGGCUGCAUCGUCGCUUGCCGUACGGAUCGGCAGCAGAGUUCUGAGCAGUAACUGAGUAGAUCGAGCUCCAUUUUUCCAAGUUCAGGAACCACAAGCUGCAAUUUCUCUCCCGACCUGUUUCCUUACCUGCAGCUCUGCUGGCUUUCUCCUUAUAAGCUAGGUGAGACACUGAAACAAUCAAAUCUCUCCCUGCUUUGGUUCUGUCCAGUACCUCUGAAUGUUCAUCUCCAGCCCCCACCAUUUUCUCUCUGCAAGCUGUUAGUAAGCAUGUAUGCAUGCAUCGAGCUGAUGAUGGGAAAAGUUGCCAACAUUGCUGCAUGCAUGUACACACACAUGCAUGUGUAGUGCUGCUCCUUUCUAGCUUAGAUCUGUAGUGUGUGUGCAUGUUUCAGUGUGUAUUUCUUUUCAUGCUCUCUUUUCUUUAUCCUUUUGAAUGUUUCUUCUAUGGAAAAAUCUGAUUGUACCCUUGUAUAAUAGUUUGUUUGUUGUUAAACUAGAAAUCAUGCCUAGGUCUAUCAAUGCUUGACAGUAAAAAUGGUUAACAUGUAAAGAUCCCUACAUUUUGGGCACACAUGUUAUACUCAGGUUCUCUAUCUCUCUCUUUACAAAAAUAUAUAUAUGCCUGUUGCUAUUUUCGAAAUAAAUCAGGAAUUUUGAAAAAAACUCAAGUUAACUUGCUUAAACUUGUGAAUUUUCUGAGUUAGUGCACAACCUAUUUGUAUCCUGGCACCAAGUAAUAUAAAAUCAACAUGCAAAUGUUCAGAAUUAGUGCAGAACCUGUUAUUAGCAUUUUUAUGCACUGCAUUAUUACCGGAAAGUUAGUUUUAACAAAGGGUACCAGAUUAACCCCUAUUUGAUUUAAUGUUCUAUUCCAGGCAGUACAUCUUUUGUUCUACAAAUCAAAACUUGGUGAAACAAACUGCAGUAAUAUUACAUUCCAUCUUUCUUUCAUCAUGCAUAUUUGCUGGUAUUUAUUUUCUCCUUAUUCCUUUCUUUUCCGGUGUUAUUCAAUGAUUUUGGUAGAUUUCGGAGAGGAAGGGACUGCUUCUUUUGAUCUUCAACAGGAGCAGGAGUUUACUGAACAAGGCAAGCAGAGCUUGUUGCAUUCAUUUACCAAUUCUAUUCAAGCAAUUAAUCACUUUUGCUGUUAGAAGCUGUUGUGUGUAUUUUUCUGUACAGAGUUUGGUAACUAGUAUGUUAGGAGUUGUUUGAUUCUGGACCAGCAGUAGCUGGCAUUAAAUGGAUGCUCUAAUCAACUUAAAUUUGAAAAGUAAGAGUGGCGUGGUAGCAUGUCGUGACAAACGGUGGCAAGUUGCUGGUUCCCCGAGCCAUACGUCGGGUAUCUAACUUGGUGCCUCGAACCAUACGUCGAGUAUCUAACAUUUUUGGAGGCCACCGGGUUGAUCACCGAGAUGCUACCAAUAACCCUAGGGACCUGUCGUGAGCACACUAGGAGUGCCUCCGGAUCAGUUUUUCCCUCUUGAGGACUUGCUACCCUCAUUUGGGAAAAACCUCCGGAACACCCGCUGGUGCUUGUAAACGACCGGCUCCUUCCUUAUGAAAAUUGUAAAUUGUUAACUUGAUUGCUUGUAAAUGUUCUUAGUAAUGUUGUCAUGCUGGACCUGAGGUUAUUUGUUAGAAAAAUGGGUCGAGGUAUCAUUAAUUAUCUCAUAUUUUCAAUACUCAUGGUCACAAGUAUUGCUGCCACCUUGAUACAAUGUUUAUGCUUCAGAAUUUUAUUACAUGCUCUGUUCUCAAUCAAGCGCAAUUAAGUCUUGCGAGUACAAUUGUACUCACCUAGGAUUUUCCUAGAUUUGCAGGUGACCCAAGCAUUGCAGACUUUUAUGAUAACGACGUUUAGUGGCUUAUCGCGGUUGGCUGAAUCUUGUGGGUUAUUUUUUGGGCUUUUGUGAGAUGGCUUGUGACUGCCAUCCUGGUUUCUUAUCUACCUUUCCGCUGCUGAAUUUUUAUGUACUAAGUUACUACUUGAGACCUUCAGGUCUUUUGGGCUGUAACCUACUGUUUGCUCUAUGUAUGACAGAUGUAACAUAUACCUUUAUUUUCUCUAUCUUGUAGAAGGCUUGUGUUGUGAUAUCCAAUGUUGUUUUCCAUACACAUCCUUCCACCAUGUAUAAUCUGCGUGUAUGUGAUCCUGGGGUGGUCGGAUGUGUAUGCGGGCGCUGG
RNAcentral lists this long non-coding RNA (2490 nucleotides) under Brachypodium distachyon (stiff brome). RNAcentral's name for it is "long non-coding RNA (BDIS_LNC005490)". The record is from RNAcentral. Lineage: Eukaryota; Viridiplantae; Streptophyta; Magnoliopsida; Poales; Poaceae.